AUCCGGCUGACGAGUCUCAAAUAGGACGAAACGUGCGUCCUGGAU
This 45-nucleotide non-coding RNA is filed under the name Schistosoma margrebowiei. The record is from RNAcentral. Lineage: Eukaryota; Metazoa; Platyhelminthes; Trematoda; Strigeidida; Schistosomatidae.